Molecule: ribosomal RNA, 571 nt
Filed under: Microbacterium lacus
Lineage: Bacteria; Bacillati; Actinomycetota; Actinomycetes; Micrococcales; Microbacteriaceae
Description: bacterial SSU rRNA
Rfam family: Bacterial small subunit ribosomal RNA
Source: RNAcentral
GAGAGCUUGCUCUCUGGAUCAGUGGCGAACGGGUGAGUAACACGUGAGCAAUCUGCCCCUGACUCUGGGAUAAGCGCUGGAAACGGCGUCUAAUACCGGAUACGAGCUGCGAAGGCAUCUUCAGCAGCUGGAAAGAACUUCGGUCAGGGAUGAGCUCGCGGCCUAUCAGCUAGUUGGUGAGGUAAUGGCUCACCAAGGCGUCGACGGGUAGCCGGCCUGAGAGGGUGACCGGCCACACUGGGACUGAGACACGGCCCAGACUCCUACGGGAGGCAGCAGUGGGGAAUAUUGCACAAUGGGCGCAAGCCUGAUGCAGCAACGCCGCGUGAGGGACGACGGCCUUCGGGUUGUAAACCUCUUUUAGCAGGGAAGAAGCGAAAGUGACGGUACCUGCAGAAAAAGCACCGGCUAACUACGUGCCAGCAGCCGCGGUAAUACGUAGGGUGCAAGCGUUAUCCGGAAUUAUUGGGCGUAAAGAGCUCGUAGGCGGUUUGUCGCGUCUGCUGUGAAAACUGGGGGCUCAACCCCCAGCCUGCAGUGGGUACGGGCAGACUAGAGUGCGGUAGGGGAG